GAUGAACGCUGGCGGCGUGCCUAAUACAUGCAAGUCGAGCGAACGGACGAGAAGCUUGCUUCUCUGAUGUUAGCGGCGGACGGGUGAGUCACACGUGGAUUACCUACCUCUAAGACUUGGAUAACUUCGGCAAACCGGAGCUAAUACCAGAUAAUACUUUGACCCGCAUGGUUCAAGAGUGAAUGACGGUCUUGCUGUCACUUAUAGAUGUAUCCGCGCUGCAUUAGCUAGUUGGUAAGGUAACGGCUUACCAAGGCACCGAUGGAUAGCCGACCUGAGCGGGUGAUCGGCCACACUGGAACUGAGACACGGUCCUGAGUCCUACGGGAGGCAGAAGUAGGGAAGCGUCGGAGAUGGGCGGAAGCCUGAAGGAGCGACGCCGCGUGGGUGAUGAAGGGCUGCGGAUGGUAAGACGCUGUUAUUAGUGAAGAACAUAUGUGUAAGUAACUGUGCACAGCUUGACGGUACCUAAUCAGAAAGCCACGGCUAACUACGUG
This 497-nucleotide ribosomal RNA is filed under the name uncultured bacterium. Its description in RNAcentral is "partial 16S ribosomal RNA". It matches the Rfam family "Bacterial small subunit ribosomal RNA", at positions 28 to 507 of the family's 1533-position model. The record is from RNAcentral.